UAACACGUAAACAACCUGCCUUCGGGAUGGGGACAACAGACGGAAACGACUGCUAAUACCGAAUGUGUUCCGGAGACCGCAUGAUUUCCGGAAGAAAGGAUGGCCUCUAUUUAUAAGCUAUCGCCUGAAGAGGGGUUUGCGUCUGAUUAGGCAGUUGGUGAGGUAACGGCCCACCAAACCUACGAUCAGUAGCCGGUCUGAGAGGAUGAACGGCCACACUGGAACUGAGACACGGUCCAGACUCCUACGGGAGGCAGCAGUGGGGAAUCUUCCGCAAUGGACGAAAGUCUGACGGAGCAACGCCGCGUGAGUGAUGACGGCCUUCGGGUUGUAAAGCUCUGUGAUCGGGGACGAAUGGCUGGUAUGCUAAUACCAUAUCAGAGUGACGGUACCCGAAUAGCAAGCCACGGCUAACUACGUGCCAGCAGCCGCGGUAAUACGUAGGUGGCAAGCGUUGUCCGGAAUUAUUGGGCGUAAAGCGCGCGCAGGCGGCUUCUUAAGUCCAUCUUAAAAGUGCGGGGCUUAACCCCGUGAUGGGAUGGAAACUGGGAGGCUGGAGUAUCGGAGAGGAAAGUGGAAUUCCUAGCGUAGCGGUGAAAUGCGUAGAGAUUAGGAAGAACACCGGUGGCGAAGGCGACUUUCUGGACGACAACUGACGCUGAGGCGCGAAAGCGUGGGGAGCAAACAGGAUUAGAUACCCUGGUAGU
This 707-nucleotide ribosomal RNA is filed under the name uncultured bacterium. RNAcentral describes it as "bacterial SSU rRNA". It matches the Rfam family "Bacterial small subunit ribosomal RNA", at positions 111 to 794 of the family's 1533-position model. The record is from RNAcentral.